RNAcentral lists this ribosomal RNA (543 nucleotides) under uncultured bacterium. RNAcentral's name for it is "bacterial SSU rRNA". It matches the Rfam family "Bacterial small subunit ribosomal RNA", at positions 355 to 896 of the family's 1533-position model. The record is from RNAcentral.
UAAGGAAUAUUGGUCAAUGGGCGCAAGCCUGAACCAGCCAUCCAGCGUGCAGGAAGAAGGCCCUAUGGGUUGUAAACUGCUUUUGUCAGGGAAGAAACCUUGGGAUUUACUCCUGAGCUGACGGUACCUGAAGAAUAAGCACCGGCUAACUCCGUGCCAGCAGCCGCGGUAAUACGGAGGGUGCGAGCGUUAUCCGGAAUUACUGGGUUUAAAGGGUGCGUAGGCGGCCAGGUAAGUCAGGAGUGAAAGUUUGCGGCUCAACCGUAAAAUUGCUUUUGAUACUGCCAGGCUAGAAUUAGGAUGAGGUCAGCGGAAUGUGGCAUGUAGCGGUGAAAUGCAUAGAUAUGCCAUAGAACACCAAUUGCGAAGGCAGCUGGCUAGACCUGGAUUGACGCUGAGGCACGAAAGCGUGGGGAGCGAACAGGAUUAGAUACCCUGGUAGUCCACGCCCUAAACGAUGCUCACUCGACGUAUGUCGCUAGACGAUGUGCGUCCAAGGGAAACCGUUAAGUGAGCCACCUGGGGAGUACGACCGCAAGGUUG